AGUGAACGCUGGCGGCAGGCCUAACACAUGCAAGUCGAACGGCAGCACGGCAGUAGCAAUACUGUGGGUGGCGAGUGGCGGACGGGUGAGGAAUACAUCGGGAUCUACCCUGUUGUGGGGGAUAACGUAGGGAAACUUACGCUAAUACCGCAUAAGAACUGAGGUUGAAAGCGGCGGACCGCAAGGCGUCGCGCGAUUGGAUGAACCGAUGUCCGAUUAGCUAGUUGGCGGGGUAAAGGCCCACCAAGGCGACGAUCGGUAGCUGGUCUGAGAGGACGACCAGCCACACUGGAACUGAGACACGGUCCAGACUCCUACGGGAGGCAGCAGUGGGGAAUAUUGGACAAUGGGCGCAAGCCUGAUCCAGCCAUGCUGCGUGGGUGAAGAAGGCC
This 392-nucleotide ribosomal RNA is filed under the name uncultured bacterium. RNAcentral describes it as "bacterial SSU rRNA". It matches the Rfam family "Bacterial small subunit ribosomal RNA", at positions 30 to 416 of the family's 1533-position model. The record is from RNAcentral.